GCCUUUAAGAUUCGAAUGCUUUGAUUGAGGGUAAACCUACAAUAAAUGCUACUUGUCAUUAACAUUGAGAUAUAUUAACAGCCUUAUCAAGAAAGAUUGUAAAUUUGAGUAAAUAUUUUUUUUAUUUUGGUAUAGCUGUUGCAUAUAAAGAAAACCUGCGCGUAGAAUUGCUCUUUUUGAAAAAAGUGUAAUGACGUCACGGUGACAUUUUAAGUGAU
RNAcentral lists this long non-coding RNA (218 nucleotides) under Mytilus galloprovincialis (Mediterranean mussel). The record is from RNAcentral. Lineage: Eukaryota; Metazoa; Mollusca; Bivalvia; Mytilida; Mytilidae.